RNAcentral lists this ribosomal RNA (244 nucleotides) under uncultured bacterium. Its description in RNAcentral is "partial 16S ribosomal RNA". It matches the Rfam family "Bacterial small subunit ribosomal RNA", at positions 1257 to 1500 of the family's 1533-position model. The record is from RNAcentral.
GCGAGGCAGAGCAAAACCCUAAAAAGUACGUCUCAGUUCGGAUUGCAGGCUGCAACUCGCCUGCAUGAAGUCGGAAUUGCUAGUAAUCGCAGAUCAGCAUGCUGCGGUGAAUACGUUCCCGGGCCUUGUACACACCGCCCGUCACACCAUGGGAGUCGGUAACACCCGAAGUCGGUAGUCUAACCGCAAGGGGGCGCGGCCGAAGGUGGGUUCGAUAAUUGGGGUGAAGUCGUAACAAGGUAGC